Molecule: ribosomal RNA, 301 nt
Filed under: uncultured bacterium
Lineage: Bacteria
Description: partial 16S ribosomal RNA
Rfam family: Bacterial small subunit ribosomal RNA
Source: RNAcentral
CAGUCGCCACGGGAAUACAGAGGGUGCGAGCGUUAAUCGGAUUUACUGGGCGUAAAGCGUGCGUAGGCGGCUUCUUAAGUCGGAUGUGAAAUCCCUGAGCUUAACUUAGGAAUUGCAUUCGAUACUGGUAAGCUAGAGUAUGGGAGAGGAUGGUAGAAUUCCAGGUGUAGCGGUGAAAUGCAUAGAGAUCUGGAGGAAUACCGAUGGCGAAGGCAGCCAUCUGGCCUAAUACUGACGCUGAGGUACGAAAGCAUGGGGAGCAAACAGGAUUAGAUACCCCCGUAGUCCCUGUCUCUUAUAC